This 497-nucleotide ribosomal RNA is filed under the name uncultured bacterium. RNAcentral's name for it is "partial 16S ribosomal RNA". It matches the Rfam family "Bacterial small subunit ribosomal RNA", at positions 28 to 507 of the family's 1533-position model. The record is from RNAcentral.
GAUGAACGCUGGCGGCGUGCCUAAUACAUGCAAGUCGAGCGAACGGACGAGAAGCUUGCUUUUCUGAUGUUAGCGGCGGACGGGUGAGUAACACGUGGAUAACCUACCUAUAAGACUGGGAUAACUUCGGGAAACCGGAGCUAAUACCGGAUAAUAUUUUGAACCGCAUGGUUCAAAAGUGAAAGACGGUCUUGCUGUCACUUAUAGAUGGAUCCGCGCUGCAUUAGCUAGUUGGUAAGGUAACGGCUUACCAAGGCAACGAUGCAUAGCCGACCUGAGAGGGUGGUCGGCCACACUGGAACUGAGACACGGUCAAGACUCCUACGGGAGGCAGCGGUAGGGAAUCUUCCGCAAUGGGCGAAAGCCUGACGGAGCAACGCCGCGUGAGUGAUGAAGGUCUUCGGAUCGUAAAACUCUGUUAUUAGGGAAGAACAUAUGUGUAAGUAACUGUGCACAUCUUGACGGUACCUAAUCAGAAAGCCACGGCUAACUACGUG